RNAcentral lists this long non-coding RNA (2642 nucleotides) under Marmota monax (woodchuck). The record is from RNAcentral. Lineage: Eukaryota; Metazoa; Chordata; Mammalia; Rodentia; Sciuridae.
AUUCGCUUCUAGGGAUGUUCCAAACCCCAAAUGCAUUGUGACUGUCUUCCCAUUAGUCAGUGGUAUUUAAAGAGGUUUAAUCAAUAAGCAAAGUCUGUACAUUUCUCCAUCUAGAUUCCUUCUCUGGUGCCACUGCAGAGGGAAGCAUUCCGCACGUCAGCAUUUCUGUGGUGUGGCUGCUGGUGCUGAAGGUGUUCAGCUUGUGUGACUGAACGUCAUUCAUUUUUUCAACCUUGAAAGAUGUUUUUGCUGGACAUAGAGUUGUAAAUUGAUAGUUUUUUCCUUUGUCUCACUGUUUUGUCUCACUGUAUUGUUCACAGUAUUGUCUCACUGUUUCUUAGCCCAACCAUUUUCAGGGAGGAAUUUGUUGUCCUUACCUAUUGUCCCUCUACAUGUCUUUGACUGUGGCUUCUUUUAAGCUUUUUUUUCCUUAUUACCAGAUUUGUGCCAUUUGAUUGUGAUGUAUUGUAGUGUAGUUUUUGUGUUGUGUGUGCACACAUGCACGCUUUGGUUCUUUUAAUUUCUUAGAAUAUUGAGUUCAUGAUAUUUUAAAAUCAGAAUCACGAUUUUUUCAGCCAUUUUGUCUUCUAGCAAUUUUUCUUUCCUUUCUAUUCUUUCCUUCAAAGACUCCAAUUAUACAUAUUUUAGACCAUUUCAAAUUGUCCCAUAGUCGCGAUUGCUCUGAUAAGUCUCUCUUUCUCGAGUUUCAUUGGGUGGUCCCUCUUGUUGUGUCUCCUGGCUCACCAGCCCUUUUUCCCAUCCUCCGUGACGGCCUGCUGAUCUCUCAGCUCACACAGAGUUUUCAUUUCUGAAAGUCGGACUUGGAGCUUCGCGUUUGUGCUCAGCAUGUUCCGUCUCUGCUCUGACUCCUUGAGCAGGUGACACCCGUCCAGGGUCCUUUCCCAUCUCCUACCACCUGCUCCAUUUCUGGGUUGGCUUCCUUUUCUCCUCAUUGCCUCUUGUUGUGUCUGUUGUUUUAUUGGAUGGAAGACGUGUGCAGCUGACUUGUGCUGAGUGCUGAUCAUUUUUGUACUCCUGUAAAUAUUCUGGAGCUUUGUUGGGGACAUGAUUAACUUACCUUGAAGCAGUUCUGUCCUUUCAGGAUUUUCCUUCCAACUGCAUUCAGUGGAUGAGAGCAGCAGUUAACCCAGGGUCCAUUUUGCUUUUACUGAGGCAGAGACAUCCCCGCCACGUAUUAUUUUGGUAAAGGUGCACACUUUGGGUAUUUUUCCCUCUGAUCCUUCCAGGCAGUUCUUCUGCCAGGCUCAGGAAGUUUCCUCACAUCCGAAGACCCCGGGGGCCGCUCAGCGACCUGAGUUUAUUCUCUCCCGCCUUCCCCCUCCUUCUUCCCAGCUCUCUGCACACCUCAGUCAGAACCCGCCAUCUCUUCUUCCCAAGCUCCACCGCUCAGUUCUCUUCCUCCUCUCCCAGUGCCCACCGUCCUUUGUCCCUGAUGUCUAGUUUGUUUUGAAGAUUAUUCUUUCACUUAUUUUGUCUGGAGUUGUUUCUUACAGGAUGGGAAACCCAAUCUCUGUAUUCCCUUUUGGCUAAAUGUGGGACUGAAGCUUUAUUUUCUUACCGAUGGAUUAACUAAAAUGCCCCUGAACACCUGGCUACUGGACAUCUGUGGAUGCUGUGCCAAAGGUCACUAUGGAAAAUCCUCAAAUUCCAAGCAGCUUAUGUAUGGUAUGAGAGAAUUCCGUAGGAAUUUUCUCAAACUUGAUGAAACGUCACAUAUACCCAUCACUCAAUCUUCAAUAAACGUAUCCCCUCCUCGAUCCACCAUGGCCUGGUUCAGAAAGGCUGUGGCCACUUGAGCACCCACUACCAUGAAAGAAGAUGGAGGGAGUUCGGAAUGGAAGGAGACGGGCAUUUCAUUUCCAAUAAGUACAUGAUCAUGGAUUCAGAGAAUUUGAAGGAAUGAGAGAUUUGUAACUUGGAAAUGGCCUUUCCUUGUGGGAGGCCUGGGGCUUAAGCAUCAUCAGCUUCACAGUACAUCUGACUGGUUUUGUUGUUGUUGUUGUUUCGACUCAAUCUCUGGAUGACCUGGGGCAAGGGUAGACUCCACAGUGGGAGGCUAGAAGAGGGAAGAAUGUUCCUUUGCGUUCUCCCCAUUUUGGUGACAGAGGUGGCAUAUAGACUCUGGUCUCUCUCUCUCUCUCUCUCUCUCUCUCUCUCUCUCUCUCUCUCUCUCGAUGAGCACAUCAGGAGCCACCUGUCCCCCUCAAACAGACUUUUCAUGUGUAAGGAAGCGAAAGGAAGCAAGGUGUUGUUCUAAGUGUUACCAGGAUGAUUUAAAAGCAGGUUUUCACAGCAUUGAAGUUGUAUCUUCGCGUUGAUUUCAUACAAUUUACCAAAAAACACUCUCUGUUCAGCAGAUCAAAGACGGAUUAUUGAACAAUGUGUAAAGUUGGAUGUUAUUAUUUCUCUUGCAUUAUAGAUUCUAAAGGCAAUAUCUGCCAGUUGGGAAGGAUUCAUUCCUAUAGCUCCUUCACAUUUUUGAAGUUUUUUUUGAAUAGUGGGGGAAUUUUGCCCUUAAGAUUAUGUUAACCAUCCUCCUGUUCUCUGGGUCUUCUAAUUCAGCGUUCCUGUACUUUCAGUAUGCCUAAUAAAUUGUUUCUAAAAAUUCAGAGGGAUCCUCA